Molecule: ribosomal RNA, 251 nt
Filed under: uncultured bacterium
Lineage: Bacteria
Description: partial 16S ribosomal RNA
Rfam family: Bacterial small subunit ribosomal RNA
Source: RNAcentral
GCAAGUCGAGGGGCAGCACGGGCUUCGGCCUGGUGGCGACCGGCGAAAGGGUGCGUAACACGUAUGCAACUUACCUUAUGCAGGGGCAUAGCUUUAAGAAAUUGAAAUUAAUACCCCAUAUAUUAUUUUUACUGCAUGGUAUAAAUAAGAAAACGAUUUAGUGGCAUAAGAUAGGCAUGCGCCUGAUUAGUUUGAUGGUAGGGUAAUGGCCUACCAUGACUACGAUCAGUAGGGGAUCUGAGAGGAUGACC